CACGUGAUAUAUGCAUGUGUAUAUAAUCGAUUGCGACGGAAAAUUACAGUAACAAUUAUUGAGGUAACAAUGAGUACCUGCGUUUUUUGCAAAACAAAGCAAUCAAAAUAUCGUGGGCGAUCAUUUCACAAAUUUCCCGUGAAAGAUGUGUUGCGCGUUUAGCAUUGGUUAGAAGAAAUGAAGAGGAAGGACUGGAAGCCAAACCGAAAUAGCACAUUGUGUUCAGCUCAUUUUACAAAUGAUUGCUUUGAUAGGACAGGAUUCCUAAUUACAUUGAAAAAGAACAGUGUACCAACUAUAUUUGACAACCCAAAAUCAGAGUGUUCAUCUUGUCACCGAUUAAAGGAAUAUGGACGUGGCUAUUCAUUCUUCAAGUUCCCAUUGGAUGAACCUGAUAUUAUGAAGCAAUGGAUCGCAAAUAUAAACAUUGGACCGUGGUCUCCAUCAAGUGAUAGCUUUCUGUGUUCCGACCACUUUGAACUCUCUUGCUUUCAGAAGAAAAGUAAAAAUUAUAUAACUUUACGAAAAGGCAGUAUCCCAACGUUAUUUGGUGAAAACUUGCAGCAGACCGAAUUUCAGGAUGAAUCCGAUGGGCCCACCACAGUGAAUGUAACCAAAUUACAUGAUCACCUACACAUUUGUACCUGAUUUGCAUGCUCAGCUCCACUUUGAUGAUCAAUGGAUGGUAAAUGGAUUCCCUAACGGUUGAAUUAGUGUUAUACAAAUUUUUGAAUAAUCCGUAUGGAAUUCAGCCCACCAUAGGAUAGAGGAUAAUGGACGGAAACUUCUUAGAAUUGAGGACUUCUUUUGAACAUGAAGAAAAAUCACGCUUAAAUACAAGUUUUUCGUCAUAUUAUUUAAUGAUCUUUUACAUCAUAUAAUUGUAAAUAAUAACAUACCUUCGAAAAAAUGAUUUGUUCUUCAUUUAAUGUAUCAAACAUUAUUUUACUCGUCAAAAACUUUUUUGUGUGACGAAUAUAUCGUUAGACCUAAAUAGCAUAUAUUACGCAGUUCAAAUCUAGCGCGCAUUUUGUGACAACUUUCUGUACAAGAUGGCGGAAAUUAAAUUGUUCAAUUGGACGCACGAGCUUACACGUAGAGUAUACGGUAAUAUCCAAUCCAGUGUAUAUAUAUA
RNAcentral lists this unclassified non-coding RNA (1135 nucleotides) under Neodiprion pinetum (white pine sawfly). RNAcentral describes it as "tHAP domain-containing protein 3-like, transcript variant X1". Lineage: Eukaryota; Metazoa; Arthropoda; Insecta; Hymenoptera; Diprionidae. The record is from RNAcentral.